GCGCGGAAGCGGCGGCGGCAAAGACAACAACGACAACGACGGAGCUGGCUAGGCGGGCGGAUGCUGGCGGCUCGGCACGUCGUGUGCGCCUUGUCCGGCGGAGUGGACAGCGCCGUGGCCGCGCUGCUGCUAAGGCGGAGAGGUUACCAAGUGACAGGGGUGUUUAUGAAGAACUGGGACUCACUGGAUGAACAUGGAGUUUGCACUGCUGACAGAGACUGCGAAGAUGCCUACAAAGUUUGCCAGAUCUUAGACAUCCCUUUCCAUCAGGUGUCCUACGUGAAGGAGUAUUGGAAUGAAGUGUUCAGUGAUUUUUUAAAUGAGUAUGAAAAAGGAAGGACUCCUAAUCCUGACAUAGUCUGCAAUAAGCACAUCAAAUUCAGUUGCUUUUUUCAUUACGCUGUGGAUAAUCUUGGAGCAGAUGCCAUUGCCACGGGUCACUAUGCAAGAACUUCACUGGAAGAUGAAGAAGUCUUUGAGCAGAAGCACAUUAAGAGACCAGAAGGGCUUUUCAGAAAUCGGUUUGAAGUUAGAAAUGCGGUAAAGCUUCUUCAAGCAGCUGACAGCUUUAAAGACCAGACCUUCUUUCUCAGCCAGGUUUCCCAGGAUGCCCUGAGAAGAACCAUCUUCCCUCUGGGGGGAUUAACGAAAGACUUUGUAAAGAAAAUAGCUGCUGAGAAUAGACUUCAUCACGUGCUUCAGAAGAAGGAGAGCAUGGGCAUCUGUUUUGUUGGUAAAAGAAAGUUUGAACAUUUCAUUCUUCAGUAUUUGCAGCCUCGCCCUGGCAACUUUAUUUCUAUAGAAGACAAUAAAGUCCUGGGAACACAUAAAGGUUGGUUCCUGUAUACCUUGGGCCAGAAAGCUAAGAUAGGCGGCCUGCGAGAGCCCUGGUACGUGGUGGAGAAGGAUGGCACCAAGGGCGACGUGUUCGUGGCCCCCUGGACAGACCACCCGGCCCUGUACCGGGACCUGCUUCGGACCAGCCGUGUGCACUGGAUCGCAGAGGAGCCGCCCGCCACGCUGGUCCGGGACAAGAUGAUGGAGUGCCACUUCCGAUUCCGCCACCAGAUGGCACUAGUGCCCUGCGUGCUGACCCUCAAUCAGGACGGCACUGUGUGGGUGACAGCGGUGAAGGCUGUGCGGGCCCUCGCCCUGGGACAGGUCUCACUCUGCUGCCCGAGCUGGAACGCCGUGGGUGGCAUCAUCGCAGCUCCCUGCAGCCUCAAACUCCUGUGCUCAAGCCACCCUCCCGGAGUGCUGGGAUUAUAGGCUUGAGCCACCACGCCCAGCCAAACUCACAUCUUUGACUUUUAGGAAAGCCACCACGAGAGACCUGGCUCCGGGCUUUGCUCUUCCCUUGGAGGUUGUAAGGGGGGAGGAGUGACGGGCCCCCGGCCCCGUGCUGCAGCUGGGCGCCUCUGGGAGCUCAGUCUCCUCGGCCACACAAUGGUGGUGACGAUCCCGGCCGAGGAGACGACGCUCACGGAACACCGAGCCUGGCGCACGCUACGUCCCGGCGUCCAGCCCCGGUCAGGACUCCAGAGGCGCAGCCAACAGAGCCCCCGGGCCCAGGCCCCGCCGUCUGCCCCACCUCGGAGGCCUCCUCCCGACCCCCGGCCCCUGCCUGGGCCUCCUCUGCGCUCCGGGAUCGGGUGACAGGGUACGGCCGCUGACCAGCGUCCCCUCUGCCCGGGAGGCUGAGGCUACUCACUCGGAGUCGGAGCCGUCAGCCUGCGCGCUCCCGGCGCACACGUUCAUGGCCACCCCGUUGAGGUGCUCGCGCCCGGGCUCCCUCCGCGGGUUCUUGACGGUGAUGGCACAGUCGGGGCCCCCCGAGCCCAGGGAGGACGUGCGUGACGACGCGGGGCUCUGCUCGCAGUCGGCCAGCUUCUCCCGGAGCCGGCCCUUCAGCGUCUGCUCGGUCAGCGGUGGCGGGAGCUGUACCGUGGGGUUUCCUGGAGCUCCUGGGGAUGAAGGAUGAGUCUGGUUCUCCAUGGCCGCCCCGCGCCAGCCCCGAGCACACGCUCAGCUUCUGGAUCCCUUCGUCCCUGGAGAGGACGGGAGGGUCAGCUCAGCACCUUCCUCAGAGAGACAGAUGAUGCAGCCACCCAGCGCUACUGGGCGAUGUUCUGGAAGAUUCUCCGUCCCCCCCAUCUGUGUUCCAAUCAACAACAGCUGACAAAAUGGGGCCUCCUGAGCACGCAGGGGGUGUGUCCCCUAGAAUGGCAGGAUGCGGCGGGGCCCCCAGACAGGCCAGGCAGCAGGGACGAAGCCGUGGCCCGAGAACCGCCCCCCCCCCAGGGUGACAGGAGGGCGCGGCGGGCUGACCUGGCGGUGCUGUCCAGCGAGGCGGUGGACUCGCCCAGCGCCGUGCGCAGCAUGUCGGGGCCCUCGCUGCCCGUGUUGUUGCAGUUGAGCGAGCGCUGGGGGAGGGGCGGGCUGGUUAUCUUGGGGCAGAGGCCACCGCGUGACUGCUGCAGAGGAUGGCUCUGUCCCCACAGCAAACCUUCCCUGCAAACAGAAGCCCUGCGGCAGCCGAGGGCCACCCCUGACCUCCUGACCUUGAAAAGUGGGGCUGUGAUUUGACUGAGGCCCCACCUGUCCCAUCCUGCCCAUUGCGCCAGGUCCACAGUGAGGGCAGCAGCCCCGCUGUGCCCGGUCCCUCAGCUCCCACCAUGAGCGGUGCACCCACCGCCCAGGCCCGCUGGUCCCCGGCGGCUCCUACCGUCAGCAGGGUGGCCCUGGUGGUGGCUGAGUCGUCCGCGUGUGGCUUCUUCCCAGCAAGCACCCCCUUCAGGUGCCGCCGGACCUCCCUGUUGAACACGCAGUGGAAGAGGAGGACGAACAGGCCCUGGCGGGAGGGAGGCAGGGUCAGCCCCGACGGUGGUCGCCGGUGCCACCUGCCUGCGGACGCCCAGGCCAGGCCAGCUGUGCGAGGGGCCGCGAGUGCCCAGAGCAAGCCUGGCCCGUACCAGGCCUCCCCGGGGACAGUCCUGGGGCCACCUGGGGUCCCCAGCGUGUCAUGAAUCAAUAUGCUGGGCAGCUUGGUGUGACCCAUCGAUGACCACUCCUCUCCCUGUGGGACAAGGGGGACUUGUGCCGGCCUGGCAGCAGGUUGGGACCCCAGGUCUCCGUCCUGGCAGUGGGGCUAGGGACAGUGGGUCUCACCACAGCCCCUCCUUGUUCCAUGGCUCUGCUGGAACAGCCGCCACAGGGUGGCCCCAUUUUUCUGCCAGGGCUGCCCAAGCAGCGGCCCCGCCAGGCAAGGCCCCGACUCCUACCUGCAAGCAGCUGAAGAUGGCGAAGAGGUAGUGAAAGGCCAGCGCGUCGCCAUUCACGGCCAGCAGCCCCAGCAGCCAGGUGGCACUGACCAGCAGCAGCAGGAGAAAGGCCGUCCUCAGCAGGGGGCUGUGGGGGCGGGGGGAUGAGCCCAGCCCUCCUCCCUACCCCCCACCUCCAACCGUCCACCCACCCGUCCAUCUGCCACCCGUCCCUCCGUCCAUCCACCCAGCCACCCACCUGUCUGUCCAUCCAGCCAUCAUCCACCCGUCCCUCCAUCCCUCCACCUGUCUGUCCACCCAGCCAUCGCCCACCUGUCCCUCCGUCCCUCCACCUGUCUGUCCACCCGGCCAUCGUCCACCUGUACUUCUGUCCCUCCACGUGUCUGUCCACCCGGCCAUCAUCCACCUGUCCCUCUGUCCCUCCACCUGUCCCUCCACCCAGCCAUCGCCCACCUGUCCCUCUGUCCCUCCACCUGUCCCUCCACCCGCUCAUCGUUAUUCAGCCCCAACUCACACGACGCCUUUUCUUUCAUAGUAAUGGUGCUUUCUUUGGCAGGACACCCUUGCAGACAGGACAAAAAUCACCGUGUUGAUCUGAAAAGAACAAAACAAAAAAUCAGAGUUGGCGGCCGACUCUCCUGCCUCAUCUCUGCUAGAAGCAUCUGAGGCUCAUCGUCUACAUCUCGGGACGUGUGGCUGGGGAGAUGGCCUCGGGCACCGGCUGUGGCACGAGGUGGACCCAAGGCCAGACUGCAGCCCUCCAGCCCCCACCACCCCCACAUGCCCGUGCAGGGCCUCCAGGGGUUGAUACGGGGCAGUCUCCCGGUGGACAUGAACCGCAACCCGGAACCCACGCAUCUGAGGGCAAGGUCUGGGAGCGGCCUGGUGGCUUUGGCCACCAUCGCCACGAGAGGAGCCCUUCCUGCCCCACCCUGGCCACUCCGAGGUGGCAGUAACACCAGCCAGCCCGGAACAUCCCUUCCAGCCAAUGCGCUCUGGGAAGGCCCCGGCACUCACGAUUAUAACCGCUCCGAUAGGCCCGGCAAAGCUCCAAAUCAGGGUGUCCUGAAGGGACAGCCAGCAGAAGUCGGGGUUCCCGUAGCCCUGGGGGUCUAGGCCAACCGCCAGUCCUGCCACACGAGGGAGGCAGAGGAGAGUGAGGGGCGCACACCCGGAUGGCCACUCGCCCGCAGUGUGGGACAGCAGCCCCCAGGCCCAGCCAGGGUGGGGCCACGAGGGGGGCCCCACGUGGCCCUCGGGGGGCAGAGCACGGAGCCCCAGAGAGACAGCCCGGGCGGAGGAUGGCCGGGGAGCCCACCCAGGCCUUCCUGCAGGUGUCCCCUGCGCUGGCGCCAAGUCCCAGGCGGCCCUGCCCUGGGGGCCUCACGUUGAAUGAGAGCAGCACUGGGGGCCGGGUGAGUGGGUGGGCGGGCGAGUGCACCCUCCGGCCCCACGCGCAGCUGAAACUUGGGGGCUGGGGAAAGGGCAGAGCAAAGCAGGGCCUGGGGGACCCGCUGUCACCCUGUCCACCUGGGUCCUCGAGACAAGAAUGGUUAGCGCCGCCCGGACCGCUGGACCAGGCAGCUGCCAUCUACCAACGCCUUCAGCCCGGUCUGAGGUUCCCUGGGUGUCAUUUUAAGAUGUUGUGCCAGAGACUAAGUGUUUUUAAAAAUUGUUUUUACAGCAGGUUAGAAAUGUGAACUAUUUGGAUUUGGAUUCCAAAGCUGUCCCGAGAGGCGGGGUUGUCACACGUGUGCUGACACAAGUGGGGGGGGGGGGUCUUCCAUCUGGGGCACUGAGACUGCUUACACAGAGCAGCUAGAAGGACCAUUUUCUGACGUGUUUUCAUCCCAACACUCUUGUACGACAAGCACCGCGUCUGGGCAGAGACACGGCCUCUACGCUGGGGGAGGAGGUGGCUGGGGGGGCCCUGCCCUGCCCCCACCUCAGAGGCCCUGGGUAGACGUGAAAAUGGCAACUGAGGGUCCCUCGGAGUAGAGGGACAGCCACAUCAGAGCCCAAGGAGGCUGUCUGGCAAGCACACCUGUCAGCGACGCUACCGUGGGAACCAGCGACUGGCCCCAGGUGCUGCUGGGCAGAGCCUGGGUGGCAACAGCCCUGCCCCAGCGCCUCUGGCCUUGGACUUUGUGUCCAAGUCCCUGGAAUCCAGAGAUGACCCGGACGUGGGCUGCAGACAGAGCCCCAAGGCCGGCCCAGCUCUCGAGGAGCUCACGCCUGGCAGGAGAUGUACCCCAGGGGAGCACUGAGCCGUCACCCGUGUGUGCAGAUGGCACAUGGGGACAGGGCCUCCACCAACAUGGAGCUGGGUGCAGAGCGAGGAGGGCAGGCGGCUCUCCCUGCCUGCACGGGGCUUGCUCCCGGGUCACCAAUGACACGUGGAUCCCCACUUAGCCGUGGCCCGUGGGAAAUCUGUAUUUCUAAGCAGGCCACCCUGGCAGGGCGCCGCGUGUGUCCUCACCUGUGACAAUGGCGGAGAUGCCCCAGCCCACGACGUAGUAGAACCUCAUGGGCCCCGUGUCGAUGUUGCGCACCUCGGUCAGCAUGCGGUAGACGUGCAGACCCUCCACCAGCGCCCAGGCGAAGGCGCUCAUGUAGACGUAGUGCAGGAGGAUGGCGACCACCGUGCACAGGAACUGCCAGGACACGGGCUGGCUCAGGGCGGCCCUGGGCUGAGCGGGCAGGGAGCCCGGAUCCCGCCCUGAGCGAGCCUGGCUUGGGCGGGGGUGGGGCAGUUUGAGAGAAGCUGGAAAUCUGGAUUUGUGUGAUGUUUCCAAAACUCUGAACGUUAACAAUCAAUUUAAAGCUAAAAAAAAUACCCUGGAGGUGGACCUGCUCGGCCUGAGGACCCCAGACUACGAUCUUGGCCUAUGCCCGCCACUGCCCCCACAUGGGGCUCCACGGCCCCCCACGGCCCAGUGGGUGUGGCCGGGGGUAGGAGAAGCUCCUCGCAGUGACCUCACUGUUAGUAAGAACCAGUUCCUCUCGCCCGCACUGAUUUCACGGAGCCUCGGAUCUUCCACAAAGAAAACACACGAUGAGCACGUGUGUUCUACGCGACUGUCCUCAACUGCGCAGGGCUGUGUCUGGCCACUGGCCCAGUGCCAGGAAGAGAAAACCAAUGUCCCCGGGGCAGCAGAGGGACAGUCUGUGGCCCUGCAGCACUGAGCCGCCUGGUGAGCCUAUUUGCCUAGACACGGAAGGCCAUGCACAAGUGGGACGAGGGCAUGUGGGGAGGGCUGGGGACGCUGUGGGGUCACAGCGAGUCUAGCCCGAGGCCACUAGUGCAAAUCAAAUACCCCCACCAUGUGCUCCAGAGCUGGACUCGAAGAUACGGCCCAGAGCAGCUUCCCCAGGGCUCUCUGCAGGGGCUGCCCGGCCCGCGCUCCCGAGCCUGGCCAGCUGGGACACGUGGCAGGCUCCCUCCAGGCCCUGCCCACCCUGACCCAGCCACCCCAGCAGGCCAGCCUUCCAGGGGUCCCAGUGUCCUCCCCAAGGAGAGACCCCUCAACAGACACAGGAGGGGAAGGGGAGGCACCACCUCAACCCAGGCUGGACGUCCCUUUGCCCGAGCAGGACAGAGCACCCUGAGGAGAGGUGUGCAGAGUACAGGCUCGAGGGUAACACGAAAGGUGCCACCUGCUGCCACGUCAACCUCGACGGCCCGGGUACUCUCCCGAAACAAGCACCCCGGAGGUGGCGGAGGGAUCACGUGGCAUUAGUGCCUGCCGAACACCUUACAAAGCAGGAGCCAGAGCAGAAGAAAGCGGUCCCCUGCUACCCCUGGGGACACGCCGCGCCCACACCGCACACCCCGGCUGCUGAUCGCAGUUGGCGUGGGGCGAGCAGGAAGGUGACAGGGGUGUUUGGCUUGCUGCCUUAGGUGAUGUGAAAAGUACACCCACAAAACCACCUUUGAAUGAGAAAGUGCCAGAACUACGACUUCUUCAAUUUAGCGGGGUCGUACAUGCACAGACUUCUGUACUGAACGUGACACCUUUUCCAGGAAGAGAACAAAGACGAAACACGAAUGCGCAAUAAAUCAUUUCAGCCUGCCCUCGCUCUGAGAGAUGAAAAGCCUCGCCCAGAGAUAGGAUUGUGAGUUUACAAAAACCCAUAAAAACCGGGCACGCGGCCAAGCCCCUGGAACCCGGAGCCCCGCUCCCUUCUCUUCUUUGUGCGCAGCGGUGCGUGGCUGCCUGGAGAGCCGGCCCGGGCGGGAGAUGAGUCACCCUCACGCUGGGGCUCGGUGGCAGGGAGGGGCCCCCGGCUCUGCCGCGCCCUCUGCUCGGAUGCUCAGCGCCGGGAGGCUUUGAAAGGAAUCAGCUUCCCAGGACAGCUCCCCGGUCUGAGGCCCCAGCAAGGACAUGCUCGGAGGGGAAGGCGCGCCUGGCCGUGUGUGCAGAACCUCCCGGGCGCGGGGCCCCUGGAGGGCAGCGAGGUUUGCUGCUUACUCGCCCGACACGCGCUCUGGGGACCGUCCUCUGCGGGACAGGCCUGAUGUUCCACCUGUCGCUGCCGAGAAGCCACCAAGUUCAUCAAGGAACUUUCUCAAGCUCUGCCUAUGGGGCGGUGUGCCCACCCUCGCCCCUGAGGGGUUUGGCUACCUUAGGAGGGUCAUGAGGGGUCCCACUGCUCACAACAAAAGAGGACGUGCCCAAGUCUGCAGACGGCCCUGGCCAGCUAGCCGGAAAAUUCCACCUGGGUCGUCUUAUUCCACUUCCCUACCCAGGGCCCGGCCGUUCCCAGACACAAUUCCCACCCCACUGUGGAGGACCCCCACCCCGUCACAAGCUCUGCACCUUCCUUGGCCCCCUGUGGUGCGUCCGGCCUCAGCCACUCUGAGCUGCCCUCUCGUCACGUGACACCUCCACCCGCUCGUCACCCCUUCGGGAGACCUGAGGGUGGCCCAGGCCCAGCCCUCCUGCUGCCCCUUUGGUGUGAUCCUGCCACCCCUCCCUCCUGUGGCUGCCACCCCGGCCACCGCCCAGGACUGUGAGUGCACCGUCGGGCUGCUCUGCUGGCCUGGCGCCGUCCUCCCACCCACCGUCCACCCGCUGCCGGGCUCGGCUUUCUGAAAUGCACCUCGGCUCGCGGCUCUCCACGCACAACGCUGCCUGCAGGAGGAAGAUGGCGCUCCUCCCCGAGAGGGGCCUGGCUCCGGGCCUGUCCCCUGCCCCUUAUUCUGGAUCCCUUCCCUAGGUGGCAAGUGGGUGGUCCUGUUCAGCUCUGCCCUGACCAGACACGGCCUCCCACCCACCAGUGAGGGCAGGUGAGGGCAGGGUGGGAGGUCUUCUGGAAUCUGGGGCUUGGUGCUUUACUACAGGGACCACCAGAGGUCCUUUCUGCUCCAGGGAGGGAGGAACGACAGCUGUGUCAACAGCAGGUGGCUGCAGCACUGGAAUGGCCCACUGUCCCCAAACAGGGUGCUAAUGAGAGAGUGGUCAGGUCUACGUCAGAGCAACCUUUGAACUUCCUGGAGUCACCACAUACAAAUGUGAGGGUCGACUGGCCUUGCAUCCCCCUAGGGCUACUAGGGCACCGUUUAGUGACGGAUGCACGAAAUGCACAGAGUGGUCUGCAGCACGUGUAGUUGAGGCCAUCCACGAGGGCAGGAGGGUUUUUGCUCCAGCCCCUGUGGUCAGACGUCUGCAGCACGGAGCUCACGGAGGAGCGCCACGGACCCCGGCUCCCAUCCCAGACCCUCCACCUCCCACCCAGCUGUGUGGCCUGGGCAGGUGACCCGACCUGUGAGGAGCCAGGCUCCCACCUGCCAGUGCUCCAGGGGGAUCAAGGAGACCAGGCGUGUGUGCAAAGCCGCGGUGUGAGUGGCUGCUGCAAGGCUGCCCCACGAGCAACUCCCUAUCGGCACGCUGGGGCCCCCGUGUCACCCUCACGAGCAACUCCCCAUCGGCACGCUGGGGCGCCCGUGUCACCCCCACGAGCAUCUCCCCAUCGGCACACUGGGGCCCCCGUGUCACCCCUGUGCAACAAGCUGAGGACGCCAGAGCUACGACCCCCGCGCUGGCCUGCGCUGUUCACUCUGUCCAGUCGGCAUGGACGUGCGCCGCUGUUGCCGCCUCCACGGCCGGUCACUCCCCAGUCCUCGAGGCCCUUGUCUCCAGCCACCAGCCCAUCCCUCCCUCCUGUAUCCCCCACCUGCUCCCCCUCCGGGGCUCCUGCGCCUUGAUGAGACACACACCCCAGGGCUCACGUCCCGUAACAGCUCCCCAGCCCCAGUGUCCCCUUCCUCUCCCUCACAGCCAAAUGCAUCUGACACACCAGCCCCCCAGGUCUCACUCCCAUCGCUCCUUUGUGAAUCACACGCUGAAUACACGCAGCGGCUGUGCACAGGGACACAACUGAUCUCACGCACACAUCACACCUCCACUCGUGACCGGCGACCUUGCUCAACUCUGUGUCCUAUGAGGCGUCUGUAGAUUAGAUUCUUCUGUAAGGUCCUUCAUGUCACCCAUAUCAUCUAAUAAAUAAUGACAGCCUUUUUUCUUCUUUCCAGUCUCUGACGCCAGCCAGUGCACUUGGUCACCACAGUCCCAGGCACAGCCUGAACGUGGGCUGACUGUCCUGUUGUACGAUUAUAACUGGGGGGCCACAGUGCAAGACCCCACACUGCACCCUGAAACUCUCGCCUUCCUCAGUGGUGACAAGUCCCAAGGGCAGAGACGAGGACACUUGCUGGCAGGUGCUGGCCCUCACUCCGUUAGCAGUUCAUGGGUCUGUGUCUAUCCCCCCAGGGAACUCGGCUUCCCCAGGGUGGAGGGCUCAGAGAUUUAAAAGGGGGUGAGAGGCGGCCUUGCUAAUAACCUACCUACAAGGGGGAAAUAAACUCUCAACAGAAAGUAAGAGACAUAAACUCUUGGCACAUAAUUGUCCCUUUGAAGACAACUGCCCCCUUUGCUUUGUUUAAUGAAAACACCCGUGGACUAACUCGUGCUCUCUAGAAGUUCGGUCUUCUCCUCGGACGGCAGGGAGUGAGCUCCCCACGCCAGCUCGCUGCCUCAGUCCCGGGCAGAAGCCGGAUUCCAAGGACUCUGAUAAGCCCCGCAGGGAAAAGAAAAAAUGAAGAUCACCCGCAACAGUGUCACAGCUGCUCCUGUCACCAGGCCGCUGAACCAGGGGGAGGACACACUUUUACCCUUUAAAAACACUGACCCGCUUCUCAGCGGCCGGGUGUUUUCUGCCUUCCCUCUUGCCUUGCCACCUUC
Lemur catta (Ring-tailed lemur) is the source of this 10525-nucleotide RNA transcript. It is a transcript of the gene named tRNA mitochondrial 2-thiouridylase, with no coding region annotated. NCBI's taxonomy places the organism in Eukaryota, Metazoa, Chordata, Mammalia, Primates, Lemuridae. The transcript has 12 exons. The record is from RefSeq and is a predicted model, not a curated record.